GCAAUGGACGAAAGUCUGACCGAGCAACGCCGCGUGAGUGAAGAAGGUUUUCGGAUCGUAAAGCUCUGUUGUAAGUCAAGAACGUGUGUGAGAGUGGAAAGUUCACACAGUGACGGUAGCUUACCAGAAAGGGACGGCUAACUACGUGCCAGCAGCCGCGGUAAUACGUAGGUCCCGAGCGUUGUCCGGAUUUAUUGGGCGUAAAGGGAGCGCAGGCGGUCAGGAAAGUCUGGAGUAAAAGGCUAUGGCUCAACCAUAGUGUGCUCUGGAAACUGUCUGACUUGAGUGCAGAAGGGGAGAGUGGAAUUCCAUGUGUAGCGGUGAAAUGCGUAGAUAUAUGGAGGAACACCAGUGGCGAAAGCGGCUCUCUGGUCUGUCACUGACGCUGAGGCUCGAAAGCGUGGGUAGCGAACAAGAUUAGAUACCCUGGUAGUCCACGCCGUAAACGAUGAGUGCUAGGUGUUAGGCCCUUUCCGGGGCUUAGUGCCGGAGCUAACGCAAUAGGCACUCCGCCUGGGGAGUACGACCGCAAGGUUGAAACUCAAAGGAAUUGACGGGGGCCCGCACAAGCGGUGGAGCAUGUGGUUUAAUUCGAAGCA
RNAcentral lists this ribosomal RNA (599 nucleotides) under Streptococcus mutans. RNAcentral's name for it is "bacterial SSU rRNA". It matches the Rfam family "Bacterial small subunit ribosomal RNA", at positions 368 to 958 of the family's 1533-position model. The record is from RNAcentral. Lineage: Bacteria; Bacillati; Bacillota; Bacilli; Lactobacillales; Streptococcaceae.